UGGGGAAUAUUGGACAAUGGGCGCAAGCCUGAUCCAGCAAUGCCGCGUGAGUGAUGAAGGCCUUAGGGUUGUAAAGCUCUUUCGCACGCGACGAUGAUGACGGUAGCGUGAGAAGAAGCCCCGGCUAACUUCGUGCCAGCAGCCGCGGUAAUACGAAGGGGGCUAGCGUUGUUCGGAAUUACUGGGCGUAAAGGGCGCGUAGGCGGCCUGUUUAGUCAGAAGUGAAAGCCCCGGGCUCAACCUGGGAAUAGCUUUUGAUACUGGCAGGCUUGAGUUCCGGAGAGGAUGGUGGAAUUCCCAGUGUAGAGGUGAAAUUCGUAGAUAUUGGGAAGAACACCGGUGGCGAAGGCGGCCAUCUGGACGGACACUGACGCUGAGGCGCGAAAGCGUGGGGAGCAAACAGGAUUAGAUACCCUGGUAGUCCACGCCCGUAAACGAUGAAUGCUAGACGUCGGGGUGCAUGCACUUCGGUGUCGCCGCUAACGCAUUAAGCAUUCCGCCUGGGGAGUACGGCCGCAAGGUUAAAACUCAAAGGAAUUGACGGGGUCAUAGCUGUUUCCU
RNAcentral lists this ribosomal RNA (561 nucleotides) under uncultured bacterium. RNAcentral's name for it is "partial 16S ribosomal RNA". It matches the Rfam family "Bacterial small subunit ribosomal RNA", at positions 355 to 1375 of the family's 1533-position model. The record is from RNAcentral.